GCCUUUGUGGUGUAAUGGUCAAACACACUCGGUGCAUAUUCGAGAGGUCCGUGGUUCGAUUCCCGGUGCAGGCG
Molecule: transfer RNA, 74 nt
Filed under: Stegodyphus mimosarum
Lineage: Eukaryota; Metazoa; Arthropoda; Arachnida; Araneae; Eresidae
Rfam family: tRNA
About the family: Transfer RNA (tRNA) molecules are approximately 80 nucleotides in length. Their secondary structure includes four short double-helical elements and three loops (D, anti-codon, and T loops).
Source: Rfam by way of RNAcentral